This is a long non-coding RNA of Musa acuminata AAA Group (dessert banana), 786 nucleotides long. RefSeq lists it as uncharacterized. NCBI's taxonomy places the organism in Eukaryota, Viridiplantae, Streptophyta, Magnoliopsida, Zingiberales, Musaceae. The transcript has 5 exons. The record is from RefSeq and is a predicted model, not a curated record.
UGAAUCCUUCGCCCGCUCUCUCCCACCGCUGAUCGUUCCAUCCAUUUCUCCCAUCGGAUCGCCGUUUCCUUCAUCCUAUCUCGGUCGCUAUGACCGCUGCCACCCUUCCGCCCACCACCGGCGGGAGGGAGCUAUCCGGGCCUCCUUCCGACGGCAUCUCCAACCACAGCGACCUCCUCCUGGGAUAAGAGUCUUCGUCUUUACGAUGCCGGGGCGAACGUUCUCGAGGGGGAGUUCGUGCAUGCUGGCCCCGUCCUCGAUUGCUGCUUCCACGAUGAUUCAGCACGGUUCAGCGCCUGUGCCGAUCAUACGGUUAGAAGAAAAUUUAAAGCAUCUCCAUCCUCUCAAUUAAUGGUAACUGCCAAAAGUCAGCUAUGGGACGUUUGCAACGGGAGGUUGCGACGGUUAUGUUAACCUAUGGGAUGGCAACAAUAAGAAAAGACUUUAUCAGUAUUCAAAAUACCCAACAAGCAUUGCUGCAUUAUCUUUCAGCAGAGACGGCCAUCUGCUUGCCGUAGCAUCUAGCUACACAUUUGAAGGCUGACACACUUCAUGAGCCCGAUGCCAUCUUUGUGCGGAAUGUAAACGAAGUCGAAGUAAAACCAAAGCCAAAGGCAUAGCCUGCACCACCUUCAUAAUAAACUGGUCCUCGAAUAUGAGAAAUAGGUCCUUCAAUUUGUGGUGUAUUUAAUUUUCAGUUGUUUUGUUCUCACAUUUUUUGUAUUUCUGGAAAAUUUAUGCCUGUAUCUGUUUCUGCCUAUUGUGGCUGCUGCAUUUGAAUGGCUC